GCCAUAGCUCAGUGAUAGAGCAUCUGCAUUGCAUGCAGAAGGUCCCCAGCUUCAAUCUCCAGGUAAGUCUGGGAGAGAUGCC
Podarcis lilfordi (Lilford's wall lizard) is the source of this 82-nucleotide non-coding RNA. NCBI's taxonomy places the organism in Eukaryota, Metazoa, Chordata, Lepidosauria, Squamata, Lacertidae. The record is from the annotation of a GenBank genome assembly.